AAUAGAUACCCAGGUAGUCCACGCCGUAAACGAUGGAUACUAGCUGUUUGAGCGCAAGUUUGAGUGGCUAAGCGAAAGUGAUAAGUAUCCCACCUGGGGAGUACGGGCGCAAGCCUGAAACUCAAAGGAAUUGACGGGGGCCCGCACAAGCGGUGGAGCAUGUGGUUUAAUUCGAUGAUACGCGAGGAACCUUACCAGGGCUUAAAUGUAGAUUGACGUAUUUGGAAACAGAUAUUUCUUCGGACAAUUUACAAGGUGCUGCAUGGUUGUCGUCAGCUCGUGCCGUGAGGUGUCAGGUUAAGUCCUAUAACGAGCGCAACCCCUGUUGUUAGUUGCCAGCGAGUAAUGUCGAGAACUCUAGCAAGACUGCCAGUGUAAACUGUGAGGAAGGUGGGGAUGACGUCAAAUCAUCACGGCCCUUACGUCCUGGGCCACACACGUGCUACAAUGGCCGGUACAGAGAGCAGCCACUUAGCGAUAAGGAGCGAAUCUAUAAAGCCGGUCACAGUUCGGAUCGGAGU
Molecule: ribosomal RNA, 521 nt
Filed under: uncultured bacterium
Lineage: Bacteria
Description: bacterial SSU rRNA
Rfam family: Bacterial small subunit ribosomal RNA
Source: RNAcentral